Molecule: ribosomal RNA, 253 nt
Filed under: uncultured bacterium
Lineage: Bacteria
Description: partial 16S ribosomal RNA
Rfam family: Bacterial small subunit ribosomal RNA
Source: RNAcentral
UACGUAGGUGGCAAGCGUUGUCCGGAAUUAUUGGGCGUAAAGCGCGCGCAGGCGGUCCUUUAAGUCUGAUGUGAAAGCCCACGGCUCAACCGUGGAGGGUCAUUGGAAACUGGGGGACUUGAGUGCAGGAGAGAAGAGUGGAAUUCCACGUGUAGCGGUGAAAUGCGUAGAUAUCAGGAAGAACACCCGUGGCGAAGGCGGUUCUCUGGGACGGUACUGACGCUGAGACGCGAAAGCGUGGGGAGCGAACAGG